RNAcentral lists this unclassified non-coding RNA (280 nucleotides) under Hevea brasiliensis (rubber tree). The record is from RNAcentral. Lineage: Eukaryota; Viridiplantae; Streptophyta; Magnoliopsida; Malpighiales; Euphorbiaceae.
GUUUUACAAAUAAAUGGUGCCUGGCCAUCAUGAUAUCCCAACCAUUUCUUGAUGUAGGUGGAUUGAUCCUCUUAGGUCCCAAUAACAGUGAACCAAUCUAAUUUGCUGCCACAACAUCAUUCCUUAGUAAAUUAUACAAUCUUUCCCUUUUGCAAUUGCUUAGCUAGGUUGUUAUCAAUUGAUGCGGGCCUAUCGCUUGCCUACUCAAAGAAGCUAUCUUGCAUCUUACUCAAGCUAUUGCAUAUGGUUUCAGCCUUUCAGGCUCCUUAAAAUUGUGCUU